AGUGGGGAAUAUUGCACAAUGGGCGGAAGCCUGAUGCAGCGACGUCGCGUGAGGGAUGGAGGCCUUCGGGUUGUGAACCUCUUUCGCCAGUGAGGAAGGCCUUGCCUGUGUGGUGGGGUUGACGGUAGCUGGGUUAAUUGAAGCGCCGGCUAACUACGUGCCAGCAGCCGCGGUAAUACGUAGGGCGCGAGCGUUGUCCGGAAUUAUUGGGCGUAAAGGGCUUGUAGGCGGUUGGUCGCGUCUGCCGUGAAAUCCUCUGGCUCAGCUGGGGGCGUGCGGUGGGUACGGGCUGGCUUGAGUGCGGUAGGGGAGGCUGGAACUCCUGGUGUAGCGGUGGAAUGCGCAGAUAUCAGGAGGAACACCGGUGGCGAAGGCGGGUCUCUGGGCCGUUACUGACGCUGAGGAGCGAAAGCGUGGGGAGCGAA
Molecule: ribosomal RNA, 425 nt
Filed under: Actinomyces gerencseriae
Lineage: Bacteria; Bacillati; Actinomycetota; Actinomycetes; Actinomycetales; Actinomycetaceae
Description: bacterial SSU rRNA
Rfam family: Bacterial small subunit ribosomal RNA
Source: RNAcentral